Molecule: ribosomal RNA, 1457 nt
Filed under: Staphylococcus sp.
Lineage: Bacteria; Bacillati; Bacillota; Bacilli; Caryophanales; Staphylococcaceae
Description: bacterial SSU rRNA
Rfam family: Bacterial small subunit ribosomal RNA
Source: RNAcentral
UAUAAGAUGCGGUCUAUCUGCAGUCGAGCGAACAGAUAAGGAGCUUGCUCCUUUGACGUUAGCGGCGGACGGGUGAGUAACACGUGGGUAACCUACCUAUAAGACUGGGAUAACUUCGGGAAACCGGAGCUAAUACCGGAUAACAUUUGGAACCGCAUGGUUCUAAAGUGAAAGAUGGUUUUGCUAUCACUUAUAGAUGGACCCGCGCCGUAUUAGCUAGUUGGUAAGGUAACGGCUUACCAAGGCGACGAUACGUAGCCGACCUGAGAGGGUGAUCGGCCACACUGGAACUGAGACACGGUCCAGACUCCUACGGGAGGCAGCAGUAGGGAAUCUUCCGCAAUGGGCGAAAGCCUGACGGAGCAACGCCGCGUGAGUGAUGAAGGGUUUCGGCUCGUAAAACUCUGUUAUUAGGGAAGAACAAAUGUGUAAGUAACUGUGCACGUCUUGACGGUACCUAAUCAGAAAGCCACGGCUAACUACGUGCCAGCAGCCGCGGUAAUACGUAGGUGGCAAGCGUUAUCCGGAAUUAUUGGGCGUAAAGCGCGCGUAGGCGGUUUCUUAAGUCUGAUGUGAAAGCCCACGGCUCAACCGUGGAGGGUCAUUGGAAACUGGGAAACUUGAGUGCAGAAGAGGAAAGUGGAAUUCCAUGUGUAGCGGUGAAAUGCGCAGAGAUAUGGAGGAACACCAGUGGCGAAGGCGACUUUCUGGUCUGUAACUGACGCUGAUGUGCGAAAGCGUGGGGAUCAAACAGGAUUAGAUACCCUGGUAGUCCACGCCGUAAACGAUGAGUGCUAAGUGUUAGGGGGUUUCCGCCCCUUAGUGCUGCAGCUAACGCAUUAAGCACUCCGCCUGGGGAGUACGACCGCAAGGUUGAAACUCAAAGGAAUUGACGGGGACCCGCACAAGCGGUGGAGCAUGUGGUUUAAUUCGAAGCAACGCGAAGAACCUUACCAAAUCUUGACAUCCUUUGAAAACUCUAGAGAUAGAGCCUUCCCCUUCGGGGGACAAAGUGACAGGUGGUGCAUGGUUGUCGUCAGCUCGUGUCGUGAGAUGUUGGGUUAAGUCCCGCAACGAGCGCAACCCUUAAGCUUAGUUGCCAUCAUUAAGUUGGGCACUCUAGGUUGACUGCCGGUGACAAACCGGAGGAAGGUGGGGAUGACGUCAAAUCAUCAUGCCCCUUAUGAUUUGGGCUACACACGUGCUACAAUGGACAAUACAAAGGGCAGCUAAACCGCGAGGUCAUGCAAAUCCCAUAAAGUUGUUCUCAGUUCGGAUUGUAGUCUGCAACUCGACUACAUGAAGCUGGAAUCGCUAGUAAUCGUAGAUCAGCAUGCUACGGUGAAUACGUUCCCGGGUCUUGUACACACCGCCCGUCACACCACGAGAGUUUGUAACACCCGAAGCCGGUGGAGUAACCAUUUAUGAGCUAGCCGUCGAAGGUGAUUUAUUCACGC